AAAUUGAAGAGUUUGAUCAUGGCUCAGAUUGAACGCUGGCGGCAGGCCUAACACAUGCAAGUCGAACGGUAGCACAGAGAGCUUGCUCUCGGGUGACGAGUGGCGGACGGGUGAGUAAUGUCUGGGAAACUGCCCGAUGGAGGGGGAUAACUACUGGAAACGGUAGCUAAUACCGCAUAACGUCGCAAGACCAAAGAGGGGGACCUUCGGGCCUCUUGCCAUCGGAUGUGCCCAGAUG
This 238-nucleotide ribosomal RNA is filed under the name Klebsiella oxytoca. RNAcentral's name for it is "partial 16S ribosomal RNA". It matches the Rfam family "Bacterial small subunit ribosomal RNA", at positions 1 to 237 of the family's 1533-position model. The record is from RNAcentral. Lineage: Bacteria; Pseudomonadati; Pseudomonadota; Gammaproteobacteria; Enterobacterales; Enterobacteriaceae.